AUGUGACCUCAAAUCAGGUAGACUACCCGCUGAACUUAA
RNAcentral lists this ribosomal RNA (39 nucleotides) under Cortinarius lubricanescens. RNAcentral's name for it is "partial 28S ribosomal RNA". Lineage: Eukaryota; Fungi; Basidiomycota; Agaricomycetes; Agaricales; Cortinariaceae. The record is from RNAcentral.